AUGCAAUUUUUGGUGGUAAUUACAGGUAUGUUCGUGGGUUACGUAUUUGAUCAUGACGCAGCCAACGCCACAAGAGCAAAAAGCGGCAUUCGGAUGUUUACUGCGAGCUGCACUAUCAUGUUGGAAUAUUGGUAACUUCAAUGGUGCAAUGGAAAUCACAACUGGUCUGAGAAGAAAGUACUUAUCAAGAUACUAAAUUUGUAUAAAUAAACCACCUCUGGCGAAGAAACGCUGUAUGGUGCACGAUGUAAGUAGGCACAAAUUUGAUAAUUGCAGCAUCCAAAGUCUUGUGCAGCAAGUUCACUUUCUCAGUGAUUGUCUUUCCUUGGAAUAAUUCGGUGAAAUUUAUAUUUGCUAAGUAUGCAUUCAUGUCCCUGUAGUUGGCCCGCUUGAAGUUGAAUGCUUUAGUUGUAAUGUUAGUUUCAGUCGUGUUUGUACCAUGCCAUUCAAACGUAGCCAUUAUCGGUGGAUGGUGAUCUUCUACUUUUUUCUUCAAUGCGUUAGAUUCAUCGACGCGCUCAAUCGAAACAUUGGUGAAAUCAUUAGUGAAGAACAAAUCCAAGAGACGUUUCUUUGACUGAUUACACACAUGAUUUACCUGUUGAACGCCCAAGCUCAUGAGUCCCUGGAUAAAAGUGGCCGUGUACUCAGGUGCAAAUUUAGUUGGAAUCAUGACGUUGUUGUCGUCGCUAUCAGUCGACCAUUCCACAUGCGGAAGAUUAAAAUCACCAACAAAAAUAAGAACAUCUUCUGGAUCAGAUGCUAUUUGAUGCAUGGCCGCCAAGUGUGAGUCGUAGAUUGAUUGUGGUGAACUUGGUGGAAUGUAAGCACAAUAUAUGUAAAUGACGUGUGAUUUAGUAGUAGCUUUCACACAAACGUAUUCCAGAUCGUCAGCACCAGCAAUUUUAAUUUCUUCAGUGGAAAAUCUGUCGUUUUUGGUUGCAAUUGGUACACCUCCGCCGCGUUGAAAAUGUCUGUCCCUACGAUAAACAGAAUAUGAAUCGUCAAAAAAUUCAGCGUCAUAAAUAUCAUUUCUGAGCCAUGUCUCAGUUAAAAUUAUCAUAUCGUAAUCGUUAGAAGUGGCGGCGCAGUAGAAUCGGUAUUCUUCAGGACAAAUACUGUGACAGUUCUGGUUUUAUGUGAAGAAGAGAAGAAAAACAUAAACAAUGGAUAACUCUUCUUAGAAAUUCUACUACACAGUGCCACACAGUGGGUUUGUGCAAUAACUAAUUCACCAAAAAUGGUUCCCUUAUAAAAAAAUGUUCAAUCAGUAUCAUAUUGAUACUGUUAAGAAGAAGAGUUGCUUUAUGAAAUUUUUUUAGUGAGAAAUUCUCAAAUAUUAAGAAUAUAGAUAAAUUCCGCGUAUCAUCCUCCACAACUAUAAGUACAAAUUAUAUACUAACAUUGUACAAAAUCCAAGGCGGUGUUAAAUAUGAAUAAAAAUGAAAAGUUACU
This is a long non-coding RNA of Sitodiplosis mosellana (orange wheat blossom midge), 1455 nucleotides long. RefSeq lists it as uncharacterized. NCBI's taxonomy places the organism in Eukaryota, Metazoa, Arthropoda, Insecta, Diptera, Cecidomyiidae. The record is from RefSeq and is a predicted model, not a curated record. The transcript is spliced from 2 exons.